RNAcentral lists this unclassified non-coding RNA (234 nucleotides) under uncultured Ascomycota. Its description in RNAcentral is "sequence contains 5.8S rRNA gene, ITS2, 28S rRNA gene". The stretch from base 1 to 52 matches the Rfam family "5.8S ribosomal RNA", at positions 103 to 154 of the family's 154-position model. The record is from RNAcentral. Lineage: Eukaryota; Fungi; Ascomycota.
AACGCAUAUUGCGCCCUUUGGUAUUCCGAAGGGCAUGCCUGUUCGAGCGUCAUUACACCCCUCAAGCCUAGGCUUGAUGUUGGGCAUUGCUGUAGAGCAUGUCUAAAAGACAGUGACGGUUCCCUUUAACCGCUGGUGCAUAGGCGUCGCCAUGCAGGGAGAUGGUAGCCAGUCUGUUAAAUAAAUUUUCUGAAGAUUGACCUCGGAUCAGGUAGGGAUACCCGCUGAACUUAA